Rhipicephalus sanguineus (brown dog tick) is the source of this 8137-nucleotide RNA transcript. It is a transcript of the gene named gastrula zinc finger protein XlCGF57.1-like, with no coding region annotated. The record is from RefSeq and is a predicted model, not a curated record. The transcript has 5 exons. Lineage: Eukaryota; Metazoa; Arthropoda; Arachnida; Ixodida; Ixodidae.
CCGACCAACGAUUGUCCUGGAGAUCGUGGGGUUCCGACCACGGUGGUUUGUUUACGCUAUGUCCUUAUGUGUACGCCGAGCCGCCGUAGAAAAGACUCGUCCCGGCUGCUCGCACCGUCACCGUGUGCAGGUUUUCCGCGCCAGUCGGCCUUCUUGUUCUGUAUAAUCAACGUCCCCACUUCACGUUUAUGGUUUACGCUUCAAAGAACUGCUGUUGCUGCACGGAGAACUUCGUCUCGCAGUAUCACCAUGCCUGCCUUUUGCUCUGCGUACGGCUCUUCGAACACCGGCGGCCGAGACGAUAUUCUUGGACAGCCGCUCUCUGGAGAUGGAACCAUCGGCCAAACGCCAGGACCAAGUGAUUGUCGCAAAACAGAUCCUAAUGCUGUCGCAGCAGAUCAAGUAUAUGAUGCAGCAUGGGGCCUCACUCUUGAGUUGGGAAAAGCCGUAGAAACAUCACCAGAGCUAGCAUGUGAACCGGGUCACGUCACAGAUAAAUCCGUUCAAGUGCGACUACUAACCCACCAUGAAGCAUCACAAGCAAAUGAAAAGAAAAUUCUGUCAUCAAGUGCUACACAAACAGAGCCUCAAGCUGUUUCUUCAGGUUCCUUGUUUGUUGAGUCACUGGAGCAGUCUUCCUCACUGGCGUCUGUACAAGGUCAAAGGCAUUCCUGCCAACAGGGCAACUGUGUGACCCUGAAGAAGUCAACUAUGAACAGUGACCUUCGGAAACGUAUGGACAAGGCCACCUUACAGUGCCACUUGUGCCCAGCUACAUUCGUUCACAAUUCUAAGCUCUUGGCACAUGUGCACACCCACACAGGAGAGCAUUCCUUUUCAUGUGUCCAUUGCAAUGCAUCCUUUUCGCGGAAAGACUCUCUCAAUGACCACAUGCGCACUCACACAGGAGAGCGUCCAUUUUCCUGUGUCCACUGCAAUGCAUCCUUUACGCGGAAAGACUCCCUCAAUGGCCACAUGCGCACUCACACAGGAGAGCGUCCCUUUUCUUGUGUCCUCUGCAAUGCAUCCUUUAAACGGAAAGACAAACUCAAUGAGCACAUGCGCACUCACACAGGAGAGCGUCCCUUUUCAUGUGUCCACUGCAAUGCAUCCUUUUCACGAAAAGACACCCUCAAUGACCACAUGCGCAUUCACACAGGAGAGCGUCCCUUCUCCUGUAUCCACUGUGAUGCAUCCUUUGUGAGGAAAUUCAGCCUUGUGAGACAUAUCCGUAUUCACACAGAACAGCUCCCUUUUCCUGUGUCCACUGCAAUGAAUCGUUAGUGAUGGAACGCUACCUCGUUCAACACAUGAGUACUCACACAGCAGAGUGUCCCUCUCAGGUGUUCACUGCGGUGCAUCCUUGUCGCGAAGAAAUAGCCUUAAUUGUCAUGCACAUCCGUACUCACACCGGACAGCGUCCCUACUCCUGUGUCCACUGCAAUGCAUUUUUUUCACGAAAAUACAACUUCACGGACCACAUGUCCCGUGAUCAUAGAAAGGCGAAGCCAUAAACGAGUUUGAGGCCUAAAGGCUUCCCUUAAAGAAGGGGCGGUCUAGCAGGGACGGCGGAGUUUGUUGAUUAAGGGAGACAGUGAACUUGGUUUAAGGUGAGGAAAGACACUUGGUUUGGCAACUCACUAGCGAGAAUGGGACGUAGGCAUGGUAGGGAAGAGAAGUAGAAGAGAGUGGGAAGCAGAGGCCAGCUUUUCGUAGGUUUUGGUUUUAUUGCCAGUGCAGCUGGGCACCCACUAGUUUUCCUAAUGGGCAGAGAAGGUACCCCAGCCUGGCGUUCAGUGUUGUGAGUAUUCAUUUCUCGUGAAUGUGGCUUCUUCUUUCCUUAACUUCUUUCACUUUCGUUUCUCCUUUCGCCAACGACGUUGAGCCAUGCUCCUUUAUGGCUUGCAGAAGUACACGUUUUAUUCUAAAUCACUGCUACUUGAGUAUUGACACUAAUGAGCUCCAGGACGGCUUAACUCUCCUUCAGAAGAAACUAGUGAGUGUCCACAGGCACUGGGAAUCAUACCUUGCGCCUCGCACUUUGGAAGCAGACCCUCUGAACACUUCAUCAUAUCUGGAUUAUUAGAAGUGAAUGCAAUGGAGGAAGGUGCGCAGGCAAAAUAUUAAAAAAAAAGGCCUUUUUUUUUUUGCACUUUGUGAAGUGUCCCCUGUGCGUAUAUUUUUAGAUCUCCAGUGUUCAGAUAUAAAGUAAAUGUAAAAAGAAAAUAGCUCAUGCUCAGGAUAGGAAAUAAAAAAGCUUACAGACUACACCACUUUACACCCUUAAAGGGGAACUCCGGGGAUUUUGGAUAUUCAUCGAUUUCAAUUAAACUUUCAACAUAAUCUGACGGAGGAGAGAUGAUGGUUUAAUGGAUAUUUACAACAGUGAAGUGGCAGCCAAACAAGAUGGCUGAGAAACCCCACGCGCAAGCACUUCUCGCUCACUCGUCGUCUUCAUCUUCGGAGAGCACCGCGCUAGCUCAUGUCCAUGACGCACAGUGACAAUAUGUUCUCUUCAGUAUCCUGAUAUGUGCCAAAUUAUACAACCGUAAGUCACUUGGUUUUUUUAGAAAACAAAAUUUAAAAUUGUUAGCCAAUUCCGGAAUCACGCCUGUUAACGCGGGUCACCCUUUGUAUGUGACGUAAUUAACGUGCCCACUCUUUUCCGACCCCGUAUCGCCCAGCAGAUGGUCGCAGCGCGCGCUUUCUUCUACGAGGUGGCGACGACGCGAGCAAAGUUUGGCUUUGUUAGCUGCAUAGUGUCGUAGUCGUCAUUGACAUCGGGUCUUACAGUAAGCACGCACAAUAUUGAGCAACGAGGAGAUCGAUGCGGGGCAUGUGAGCUACUUCAUGCGCCGGCGGGUAGAAAUCAAAAGGCGAUGCUUCCGCGCGUCGUCACUGGUAAGUUGAGACAGGCUGGCGCAGCUUGAUUUCGCGUCGGAUAACAUCGCCAGCUUGCUUUUUGCGUGAUAGAAGAAGCGCGUGUGCUAUGUCACGGCCGGUCUGGAGGCGCUCGCUCGCCAGGAAGCGAGCGCGCGCCUCCAGACCGGCCGUGGCUAUGUUUACACCCUGGCCAGCCGUGGUAGCGUGUAGCGUAUUUCGUGAUGUCAUCGCAUACCCAGCACGGAGCAGCUCAGCUCCGUUUCGGUAUCGUCUCAUCGUUUAUUGCUUUUUUAAAAUUACUGACUAGUCUCUCAGCGAAAUGAACCACCCUAGCUGUUACAGGACUGUUAAUACUGUUUGAAAAUGGCAUUAUCUCAGUAUGGUCGAAAAUGCACCGGAGUUCCCCUUUAAGGAUGUCUUAUCGCGUCUAUCACUAACGCCCUUACACUCUACACUCUAGAAUAAAGGCGCUUUCACGAAUCGAAACACCAGUAUCAAACACUUGCAAUUGUCUAAACAUCCUUAUCACUGCAAAGCAAAAGAAUAAUUCAAGGCUACCACUUUGAGAACAUUCUCUUACACAGGCAACGUAGGAUAUAAAAUUGCACAGACGCAUACGGACAUACACACCAACAUAGCAAGGUAAAGAGCAACAUAGAGAGAUUGUGCUACACAGCCAUGUACCGAUCAGCCAUAAAGAGAGCGAUAAAGGAAGCCUACGUUAUGAUUCAUUGUUCUUUAACAGCAAAAAGUUAAUUUAUGUUGAGUCAUCAGGUUCAGUUAUACAAUCAGGCUGACAGUGAAGCAGCUGUACCACAAUAAAAGUGCUGCUUGGGAAUUGCAGAAGCAUUACAAAUAAGGUUGACGACCUUGCUCACCUUAUGAACAUGACUCUGUUGUACUUGAACCCGAGUUGUGGUUGAACAGCAAAAAUAGUGACAGCGAAAUCUGUCCCUUAAAUUGUACGGCUUAUUGGAGAGAUCAGGAUAGGCACGGCGCAGGUGUUUUCACAUUAGUGAAAGAGAAAUUUAUGCUAAAAUGUUACAAAUUCACACGGAAACAAACGAAUCUCGUUCAAGUUGUGUUUCCAAAAUAGACUGCGUUAUUUUUUGUUUCUUUUUAUAGGCCACCAGGUAGCAAAGUUAGAGUAAUGAACAACUUGAAUGAGGAAAUUGAUGCAGUAAAUGAUGAUCACGUAAUACUUGGAGGUGAUUUUAACCUGCCUGAAGUCUGAAAUCCAUUGGGCUCAAGAACAUACUAAUUCUCUCGUUAAUAGUUGUUCGCGGAAGGAAUUGCUCAAGAUGUGUUGCUGUUUCUCGCUCAUCAAGUUGUGCAACCUACAAGAGGGAAUAAUGUGCUUAUUUAUUGCUUGGUGAUUUGCCUCUUGAGGACCAGCACACGCAUACAAGUGAUCAUAGCACUGUGCUUUGCGAGCUCAACUUGGAUCAUGUUAGAGUUACAGAUAGCAGAGCAAGGUAAGUACAUAGUUGUAACCACGCAAAUAUUGUUUUACAAUAACAGAAGCACUUGACCGUUAUUAUGAUAUUUUUGAGGCACUGUCACAUACGUUUGAUGUAGAAGAUAUGAGGGUGAGGUUUAAAACUAAACUGUUCAAAUUACGGAAGCAACAUGUGCUUUCACGGCUGAUCACAGUCCGAUGGAGCAUAAUAAUAUUUAGGUCUCAAAACCACGAUUUGAUUACGAGGGACACUGAAGUGGCGGGCUCUGGACAUUUCAACCAGCUGGUGUUCUUUAACAUGCACCUAAAUAUUAGUUCACGGGCCUCUACCAUUAUACCCCCCAACGAAAGGCGGCCGCCGAGGCCGAGAUUCUAUCCCUCGACCACCGGGGCGGCAGUCGAGCACCAUAUUCAUUAGACCACCACGGCGGGUAGCCCGACGCAGCCGAUGUAAGCCUUGGUUUACAAAAGACGCGCAAAGAUUAAUUCGUGGGAAACGGAAUGCAUACAAUGAAGUAAAAAAAAAAGAUGUGAGGGUGAGGCAAAAGCAAAAUUGCAAGUACUUGCGGCUAAAAUCAGUGAUGCCACAUGAAAGGCUAAAGGUGUUUACAUUGAAACCCCAAAUUUAGAAUAAAAGAUUGGCCAGAAAAAUUGUGGCAAAGCUUAAAAAAAAUAGAAAAGAUGAUCUAGCAAUGUUGAACAUUGAAGAAAACUGCAUGUUUUUUAACUGAAUUGAAUUGAAUUGUGUUUAUUCACAACAAGGUUGCGAGGAUGACCAGGCAAAAAAGCUGCAUUGAGCAGCUUGAGGGGAACCUGGCCACGUCGGAAGGCCAAGCGCUUUAUCUUGUUUUUAGAGCGCAGCUCCUAGGCGCCCGUUCCUGCGUUGAGCGGUGUCGCCGUUGUCUUCGCCAGUCAAGUGGCGUAACCGAUAGACAUGAAAAAAUAAAAUCAGAAAAAAAUACUUGGGAUAAAAUGGGAUUUGAAGCCGGGCCCUAUUCAUGGCAGUCGAGUAUUCUACCACAGAGCCAGGCUGGUGCUUAAAACUCGUUUGCAAAAAGACCCUAUAUAGGCGUCAUGUCGGGCAAGGAAUCGCAUUAACCUACGUAAUAUAGUGUGGCAGAAAAGUAAAGUAACAACCAGUCAUCGCAAAAUGCUAACUGCGGAACAAGUGUGUGGUUUAAUGCUUCCCAUCCACUGCAAAGUGCUCAGCCAUAAUUCUUCAUUGUCUUCAGCCACAUGCCGCAUCAACAAAGUGCACGUAACACCUUACAGAUGUGUAGCGGGUACAUCGCUGAUCCGCAGAAAGAAGAAUAAUGGCGUAGUGGAUGCUGUUCUACUUCACAAAAAUUAUUAUUCAUGGCGUAGUCGAUAGCUUGCGGAAAGCCAAAACUUCAAACACAGUGGCCUUGCCCCAACACGAAGCUGCACUCAGAAUUCGCAUUAGGCAGUGUCGUAAUCGUCGGUGAAUUUUUUUACAUGAGUAUUUUAUACUCAUGCACAAACGCUAGCGAAUAUUCGUAAAAAACUUUGUUACUAAGCAAAAGGUUGUGUUUAGUCUGCAUUGAAGGAAAGCCUUUUUUUUUAAAGGUUACUCUACAAAAGCUAGUGGCCCAAAUGAAAUACCGCAUGCCUUCUUGUCAUCAUGUGCGCACUCAGUUGUAAAAUAUUUUUGUCUUUUUUGCUAAAUCAUUAGAGAAGGGUCGUCUACCUCUCGAUUGUAAAAAGGCAAAUAUUGUACAUUCACAAAUCUGUGCCGCAAAGCUUGGUUUUAAACUAUCGUCCUGUUUCAUUAAGUAGUACGAAACGCAAAGUGCUAGCACAUGUUUUUUGCUAGCAUAUUUAAAAAUAUUAAUGAGAACUAUCUGCUAAACAGCUGCCAGCAUGUCUUCCGCUUCCAAUCUUGUGUCGUGCAACUUACUGAAUAGACUCGUUACCUGGGAAGUGCAUUGGACAAAGACAGUACAAUAUAUUUCAUAAUUUCAAGAAAGCCCUUCAUGUGAUGCACAUUGAUUUAUUAAUUGAAAACUUUUCAUGGUAUGGUAUUGACAGUACUGUAACUUAUUGGAUACAGAAUCUUGAGUUUAGGCGCCUGGGGGUUGUCAUUAAUGGAGAUAAAGCGGGUGAGGCUGACGUAACGUCAGGAGUACCGCAAGGGUCAAUACUUGGCCUAUUCCUGUUUUUGAUCUAUGGGAGUAAGUUUUAGUAUUUUUUUGCUCAUGUUCACAGAUAAAUGUGCAUAGUACAGUAUAGAGUUUUUAAUGACCCAAAUGAUUGUACAACUUUGCAGUGUGACAUACUGGUUUACACAGUGGUGUCCAACAUGGCACAUAACCUUAAUGUAAAAAAAACAGUGCAUAUGUUUUUCUAGAAGAAAGGUGACACAGUUUCAGUCUAAUUAUUGCAUUAAUUGAAUGCAACUAUUGACUGGGUCAGAGUUUAUUUGGAGGUGCAGUUCAGCACUGAUUUAUCAUCGACAGGACACGUUGGUCACGUUUCUGCCAAAGUAUCCCGCGUCCUAGGUUAUAUGAAAAGGAAUGCUAAGCAAUUUCCAAACAAGGCAAUGGCUCUAAACUAUCUUUCCAGUAUUCGAUACUACUUGAAUACACUAGCGCGGAUUGGGAUCCCUGGACCCAAAUAAACUUAGGUGAGCUGGAAAGAAUUCUGAGUAGUGCUGUGGAGUUUGUAUUUGGAAAUUAUUCAAGAAAGUUCGGUGUAACUAGCAAAAAAAUAUAGGUGUGACACGCUGCCGAAAUGCUUAUUUCAUGAAUUGAAUUAUUUCCAUGAUAUCUACCUUUCAUGAAGAGGCAUUGAUUGCACAGAGUAUUUGCAUGAGCCUGACUAUAUGUCUACGAGGGAGUAUCACAAACUAAAAGUGAGGGAAACAUUUUGUAAAACUAACACGUUUAGGAAGUCAUUUUCCCCAAUACAAUUAGUUAGAAAUUGGUUACCAAGUGAUAUCGUGAAUAUAACUUCAAAGGAUUUGUUUGUCAGUCUGUCCAUGAUGUACUAGUAUAGGCAUGAACAUAUUGUGCUAUUUCAUUCUGUAUAACCUGUAUAUGUUUUUUUUUCUUUAUGUAAUUCCUCCCCAUUGUAAUACCAAUGAAUGCGCCGUGGUUGCUUUUGUAAGUAAAUAAUCUGGUAUAUAUAACCCUGAUAUUUUAACCUGGCGUUCAGUGCCGGUGAGGAUAUCAUGCACUGUUAUGCUUAAGUAAACAAUAAACAUUCACAGAAAACGUGGAAACUCGUCGUGCGACGUGCGCUUUCAGGUAGCUUUAAAACGGACAGACAUGUUAGUAUAAACUUUCCUAAUCAUCCUAUUAAGGCCACAGGUGUUUUUGCAACUCGUAACACCUCUUGCUCCUUAAGGGUGCUUUAAGUAAAACCUUAAUGCUUACGCAAACCAGAAGGCUAUUCGGGGAAGGAAAAGCACAUUAGACCCUAAUGUUUCAAAAUUGUACAGCAAAAAAGUGUUGUGUGUGCUUAAACCUCCUUUAAAGGUGCAACCUUAAUGAAAACCAGGAGAUAAUGAAGCCAAGGAAGUAUGGGGGACAUAGAAUCUGUGAAGAAAAUUUCUUCGCAUCUGUGUCACAUCCUUCAGCCUUGUGGUGCACAUGUGAGCGCCCCGUUACAAAGGGGACGCUCAUAGCAUCCAUCCAUCAAACCAUCGCAGGAUAACCACCAUGAAACGGGCAUGCACCACUAGAUGCAUGCAUAGCUACAUUGGGGGGUGGGGGUGAUGUUUAGGCGACUUUUUUUUGUCUUGUGAGGCACUGGCUGGACACAGUGCCAAUGCUA